Molecule: ribosomal RNA, 756 nt
Filed under: uncultured bacterium
Lineage: Bacteria
Description: bacterial SSU rRNA
Rfam family: Bacterial small subunit ribosomal RNA
Source: RNAcentral
GAUGAACGCUAGCGGGAGGCCUAACACAUGCAAGCCGAGCGGUAUGUAUUUUUAGCUUGCUAAGAAUGCAGAGAGCGGCGCACGGGUGCGUAACAUGUGUGCAACUUGCCUUUAUCAGGGGGAUAGCCUUUAGAAAUGAAGAUUAAUACCCCAUAAUAUAUUGAUUGGCAUCAAUUAAUAUUGAAAACUUCGGUGGAUAAAGAUAGGCACGCACAAGAUUAGCUAGUUGGUACGGUAACGGCGUACCAAGGCGACGAUCUUUAGGGGGCCUGAGAGGGUGAUCCCCCACACUGGUACUGAGACACGGACCAGACUCCUACGGGAGGCAGCAGUGAGGAAUAUUGGACAAUGGGUGAGAGCCUGAUCCAGCCAUCCCGCGUGAAGGAUGACGGACCUAUGGUUUGUAAACUUCUUUUAUAUAGGAAUAAACCUACCCUCGUGAGGGUAGCUGAAUGUACUAUACGAAUAAGCACCGGCUAACUCCGUGCCAGCAGCCGCGGUAAUACGGAGGGUGCAAGCGUUAUCCGGAUUUAUUGGGUUUAAAGGGUCCGUAGGCGGGCUAAUAAGUCAGUAGUGAAAUCUUGUCGCUUAACGAUAAAACUGCUAUUGAUACUGUUAGUCUUGAGUGUAUUUGAAGUAGCUGGAAUGAGUAGUGUAGCGGUGAAAUGCGUAGAUAUUACUCAGAACACCAAUUGCGAAGGCAGGUUACUAAGAUACAACUGACGCUGAUGGACGAAAGCGUGGGGAGCGAACAGG